This 467-nucleotide ribosomal RNA is filed under the name uncultured bacterium. RNAcentral's name for it is "partial 16S ribosomal RNA". It matches the Rfam family "Bacterial small subunit ribosomal RNA", at positions 28 to 507 of the family's 1533-position model. The record is from RNAcentral.
GACGAACGCUGGCGGCGUGCUUAACACAUGCAAGUCGAACGAUGACGCCCGAGCUUGCUCGGUCUGAUUAGUGGCGAACGGGUGAGUAACACGUGAGCAACCUGCCCUUCACUCUGGGAUAACCUCGGGAAAUCGGGGCUAAUACCGGAUAUGAGCUCCUGUCGCAUGGCGGGUGUUGGAAAGUUUUUCGGUGAAGGAUGGGCUCGCGGCCUAUCAGUUUGUUGGUGAGGUAGUGGCUCACCAAGGCGAUGACGGGUAGCCGGCCUGAGAGGGCGACCGGCCACACUGGGACUGAGGCACGGCCCAGACUCCUACGGGAGGCAGCAGUGGGGAAUAUUGCACAAUGGGCGAAAGCCUGAUGCAGCGACGCCGCGUGAGGGAUGACGGCCUUCGGGUUGUAAACCUCUUUCAGCAGGGAAGAAGCGAAAGUGACGGUACCUGCAGAAGAAGCGCCGGCUAACUACGUG